This 253-nucleotide ribosomal RNA is filed under the name uncultured bacterium. RNAcentral's name for it is "partial 16S ribosomal RNA". It matches the Rfam family "Bacterial small subunit ribosomal RNA", at positions 524 to 776 of the family's 1533-position model. The record is from RNAcentral.
GACAGAGGGUGCAAACGUUGUUCGGAAUUACUGGGCGUAAAGCGCGUGUAGGCGGUUCGGUAAGUCGGAUGUGAAAGCCCCGGGCUCAACCCGGGAAGUGCACUCGAUACUGCCGAGCUAGAGUAUCGGAGAGGUUGGUGGAAUUCUCGGUGUAGAGGUGAAAUUCGUAGAUAUCGAGAGGAACACCGGUGGCGAAGGCGGCCAACUGGACGAAUACUGACGCUGAGACUCGAAAGCGUGGGGAGCAAAACGG